AGAAAGUACUUCAGUACAUCGGUGACAGGUGGUGCAUGGUUGUCGUCAGCUCGUGUCGUGAGAUGUUGGGUUAAGUCCCGCAACGAGCGCAACCCCUAUUGUAGUUGCCAUCAUUCAGUUGGGCACUCUAGCGAGACUGCCGGUAAUAAACCGGAGGAAGGUGGGGAUGACGUCAAAUCAUCAUGCCCCUUAUGACCUGGGCUACACACGUGCUACAAUGGUUGGUACAACGAGUUGCGAGUCGGUGACGGCGAGCUAAUCUCUUAAAGCCAAUCUCAGUUCGGAUUGUAGGCUGCAACUCGCCUACAUGAAGUCGGAAUCGCUAGUAAUCGCGGAUCAGCACGCCGCGGUGAAUACGUUCCCGGGCCUU
Molecule: ribosomal RNA, 370 nt
Filed under: uncultured Streptococcus sp.
Lineage: Bacteria; Bacillati; Bacillota; Bacilli; Lactobacillales; Streptococcaceae
Description: bacterial SSU rRNA
Rfam family: Bacterial small subunit ribosomal RNA
Source: RNAcentral